Non-coding RNA from Sus scrofa (pig), 1042 nucleotides. The record is from RefSeq and is a predicted model, not a curated record. NCBI's taxonomy places the organism in Eukaryota, Metazoa, Chordata, Mammalia, Artiodactyla, Suidae.
CCGGCAGCUGCCGCUGCAGCUCCGGCGCCCGGCACAGCCUCCUGCCCACGGCCCGCCGCCAUCUUGGAUUGCAGCCUCCUGCUGGUUCCUGCGCAAAGCAGCCCGGCUGAGCUGCCACUGCAGCCGUUUUCCAGGAGGAACUCUGGUCUGAAGGGCCAGGUGGGAGGCUCUGCAGGUGGCCCCCUGUGAAGGAGUGAAACCAAACGAAGCUCAAAGGAAAAAAGGUACUAUGCUAAGUGCUUGAUGUGUAUUACUUCAGAGAAUCCAUCCACAGGACAUCUGUACAGGAACUGUAAGUGAGCAGAUUCUGGGACAGCUCUAAGAUGUGUGGUCUCAUUAACUCAGAAUAGAAGCCUCUGUUGAAGGGCCGGCAAAACUGCAGCAGGAGCCUCGCCAGAAGACUACUUCCUAAAAUUCGUUCAGAAAAGCGCCUUUCAAGAGGCACACAGACAAUUUGAAAGGCAAAAUUAUAAAUGGCUAAUGCAAUGAGGAAAAUGGAAAGCUCCAUUAAUAUGCAAAGGAUGAAAAUUAAAUGCCACUCAGAUGCCUUUUUGUCUUAUGACAAUAACAAGAUUUGGAAAAAACCAUGCUUAAGGGUAAGGUGAUAGGAAAUCUCAUGGAUUGCCUGUGAGAGUAAAAAAAUUUUUUUUUUUUUUCAAAAAACAGUUGAAGAAUAUGGAUCGAAAGCCUUCACAACUGAUUCCAAUGGCCGUAUCUUUUGAAUCCAUAAUUGCAGUGCUAGGAUGUCAUUAUUUAAAAAGUUCAGAAAAGUGGAUAAAAGCAUUUUCACACAAAGAAAUUUAUUAGAGUGCUCUUUAUGACCGAAAAAAAAAUAGAAACACCUGAAUGUCUAGCAAUGAGGAUUUCAAAUAUGAAAGAUAUAGCUGAUAUUACACAUUUUGUAGUCAUUUAAAAUGUUUACAAAGAAGUUUUAAUUUGGUGGGGGAAAUAAGUGAUGUGGUAUUAUUUCACUAUAUUGAAAUCUGUAUACGUAUAGGAAAAGAGAUGGAAAAGUGUCAAAACUUAAAGUGGUUAUCUCUAA